UACUGACAGAGAUUCUCACGCUCAACACGGGCACGCACGUAUGCAUGUCUCAGGAAAUCCUCAUGAGGAGGAGGACGAUGCAUUGAGUGUGGUGGAGGAGGGCUCACUGGCUGUUACACCCAAACACUGGAGUAAGGAAACAGCAUCCCCAAAACACUGAGUCAGUUUUCAACAUCCACUCUGAGUCUGACAUCUGUAAGCCGAUCCUAAGUGGGCCACAGGGCUUCUCCAAGAUGACAGAGGAAACCACUUUGUUAGCGCCCAUCUUCACACACUCACACUCCAUUGAAACCAUUCCUCAACUCUCGCUCGCUCGCUCGCGCACGCGCACAAAAUCAUAGUCAUUCCUGAAUUAUUCAGUGCCGUGGCAGAAGCAGGUGUCAGAGUGACCUGACCUGUCUUGAGUGUACUGAAACAAAAAGGUAAUAUGAGAUAUGGAGUUCAGACCCCCAUAAGGAAUUCAAGGGCUCGAUAUUAACGCUUGCCCUGUGGCAAGAAAACUAUGUGUUCGGGCAAGUGGAAUACCUCAUGCAGUUGUCCCAUCGGGCAAGUGAAAAAUAAAUGUAAUCUUGUGAGUGAGAGCAGCUGCUCAGCGACAAACGUGUCAAGCGAGCUAACCUAGGAGCAGAAAAAGGAAGGCCAGCAAUGGCACAGGAGAAAGUCCAAAUCCCUGCCUGACCUUUCCGCCUUACUCGGAGAGAAGAUAAGUUGUCGAUCCAGGGAGAAUGACAUUUCUUCUGCUCCGCAGGCUCUCAUUCUCCAGGUUCGCCUCGGGAUACUGUUCAUGAGAGAUGGCUGAUUAUCGACAGGGACAGGGUGGCAGGUGGUCACAUCUUACUCUGUGAUAUCACUCUGCAGGACCUUCAGGUUACACAAUCUGGGUUCAUCGGAGAUUGAAAAGUAGUGAGCCGGAGCAAGCUUUGGAUGGCCUACUGUGAGAGAGGAGACGUGGACACUGUGUGGUGGGCUGGACAGCGCAAGUUUUGCCCUCACGACCGAGAGCCUCGGGCCAAGUGGGAGCGAGGGAGCUCCAGACGGAUUGUGGGACAAUUCAUUGCUGAUGCAAUCCUCAAAUAUAGAGCUGUGGCAAAUAUUCCUCCCUGUGUGUUUGUAGUUAUCUGUGAACAGAGGUCUACAGCAGUGGAACUGCUAUAGUCAGGCUUUAUCCCAGUAAUGUACAUCCGUUGAGCCAGACUACAUGUUAAGUGGCUUACAGGUCUUCAAAAAAGUCAAGGACGGCAAGCUAUGACAGACCAGGGUCCGAUGUGUAGUCUGCUAUGCUUCUCAAUCAAGUCACAAUAAGAGUUCAUAACUUAUGAUCACCUAAUAUGACACAGUGACCUCCUGAAAAGACAAAAACACAUCUGUUGGUCCAUCCUGGCGUUACAUAUCCUUCAGCCAAACAUGGUAAAAUCAAAACACGGUUGCUUGCCGACUAAAAAGUUAUUAUGGUUUUGUCCAUUCUGAACCGAUGAUGGAGGCUUUAGUGGGGGAUUAGUGAGAGUAGGAUCCUCCAUGUACAUUUGUGUGUGGCUGAGGCAGAGAUGAUCAGUGGGUAGAGACAACAACAGAGUGCUAUCUCCGGUCAGUAGAUUCGUACGUAGUACAGCCCACAGCCCAC
Long non-coding RNA from Perca flavescens (yellow perch), 1621 nucleotides. RefSeq lists it as uncharacterized. The transcript has 6 exons. The record is from RefSeq and is a predicted model, not a curated record. NCBI's taxonomy places the organism in Eukaryota, Metazoa, Chordata, Actinopteri, Perciformes, Percidae.